CAGUAGCCGCGGUAAUACGGAGGGUGCAAGCGUUAAUCGGAAUUACUGGGCGUAAAGCGUGCGUAGGUGGUGGUUUAAGUCCGUUGUGAAAGCCCUGGGCUCAACCUAGGAAUUGCAGUGGAUACUGGAUCACUAGAGUGUGGUAGAGGAUAGUGGAAUUUCCGGUGUAGCAGUGAAAUUCGUAGAUAUUGGGAAGAACACCGGUGGCGAAGGCGGCAACCUGGCUCAUUACUGACGCUGAGGCGCGAAAGCGUGGGGGGCAAACAGGAUUAGAUACCCCAGUAGUCCCUGUCUCUUAUAC
Molecule: ribosomal RNA, 301 nt
Filed under: uncultured bacterium
Lineage: Bacteria
Description: partial 16S ribosomal RNA
Rfam family: Bacterial small subunit ribosomal RNA
Source: RNAcentral